CACCACUGUAAAGUAAAAAAAUCCUGAGUUGAACCCUCAACCAUUGUUAAGUUAGGGAUCAUCUGCAUAUGAGAACUCUAGGUAUUUUUGCUCAGUUUUACCGUGAACCUAAAACUGCUCUAAAAAAUAGUCUGUUAAAAAAAAAACUCCGGUGCUUCACCUAUUCAAUUCCCAGAUAAUCGCUCGCAACCACUGACGUUUACUGUCUCUAAGCUUUACUUUAAAACAGUAUUUACCUAUCUGCAAAGCACACUAAAUGCAAAGCACAAUUUUUUUAAAAAACCCAUCUUAAAGGGAACUAAUUUGGAAAUAACUUAUAUAAGGCAAACAGGGCUGGGGAGGGGACUCGGGAAUGUCAGGUGAUGGAUCACCAAAGAACGUUGGGCGCCUCUCUGUACUGGAUCUGUUGAAUGCCACAUUCCUGAGGAAUCUAAGAAAACUCAGUUACUUUCCUAUCUGGGACAGAAGGAAAAGUUUCGGCAUAGGAUAUAAAUUUUCUGCUAUCAAGUUAUUCUUUCUAUCAGUUAUAGUUAGCUUGCCUAGGUGCAGUUCUAAGUGUUUUUCCAAAGCAUGUUGUGAGAAUAAGAUGGGGAGGGGAGCAUGUGGCCUUGGGGGCUGAAGUUCUAAGAGUCCUCUGCGCAGCGGCGACUUUCAUAGUUCUUCACAGGUCACGUGCAAACGCAGGGGGGUGGCGGUCCUAAGUUGGCAUGCGGUGGAUCUUUAGUCUAUGACGUGUGAAGCUCACAAUCGGUCAUCGUAGCUUCUCAGUGAUCCUGCAGCUUCUCAGUGAUCCUGCGUGAUGCUUAGGCAGAAAGGUGUCAGCAACCUACUCUCUUAUCAGCGUUCUCCCACUGUGCCGCAAGACAAGCUCAGAAACUUUGGUUACUCUGUUUCCCAGUUAACCUUGUAGGUACAGGCACAGUUUCAUCCUAAUGCAGGGAAACUUUAACUCCUUCACCCUACGUUUCACUUCCUUGCUCCUGGAAGUUGUCGCAGCAAAGCUCUGCCGCUGACCAAAUCCACGUCUAUCUUCUCCAGUAGCUCCAAGCACUCAGCCGAUGUCUCAGGGGAAACACAACGAAAUGUUGACCAAAACUGACUCAGGGUCGAGGACUGUACAUGGCACUUUUAACUUUUACAUUGUUCUCAAUUUCAUUCCUUCAACAAUGAGUUCCUUUAACUUUCAUUAAAGCCCGGCAACACCAACCCACGGAACGCAGCGGGUGGGCUCCCCACCGCUUC
Molecule: long non-coding RNA, 1242 nt
Filed under: Equus caballus (horse)
Lineage: Eukaryota; Metazoa; Chordata; Mammalia; Perissodactyla; Equidae
Description: lncRNA (ENSECAG00000052748.1)
Source: RNAcentral